This 2892-nucleotide unclassified non-coding RNA is filed under the name Leishmania donovani. Its description in RNAcentral is "gene:LdHU3.35.3470(CDS-product:Heat_shock_factor_ binding_protein_1_putative)". Lineage: Eukaryota; Euglenozoa; Kinetoplastea; Trypanosomatida; Trypanosomatidae. The record is from RNAcentral.
AUUUGCAUUCUUUGUCAGGCAUACCACAUUUCAGCACCACAUUCGACGCUUCGGUAUCACUGCUCACUUAGCCCCCCCCCCCCCAAGCUGCGCUCGUGACGCUUGCGGUCGAGAUAGGUCUCUCAUUCGCUGUAUCGACGCAAGAUCACGUGAAGAAGACGCGCGCACGCCAAGAGCAGCACGGGUUCGCAAUACAUACCUACACUCGCAGCAGCCGCACCGAUCCUCUUAUCCUCCUCCCCACUUUCCGUUUUUGCGCACAGACGUCCGACCCUUCGAGGAACGUAGACGCUAGAACCGCUUAUUUUCUUCUCGUUUCCACACGUCUUUACGACAUCGUCCACAUUCUACACGGCCCUUUCCCCCUCUUUGUUUUUUUCCUAAGAAACGACGUUGGCUCUCUUCCGCGUGCAAGUCUGUAUUUUCUUGUCGUCUUGUAGCUCCUUGACUGUCCGUUGAUCUCUCGCUCCAUCGUUCUUCAUCGCCUGUUGUAGUUUGUUUUCGUCUUAUCACUAGGGCCCACUAUUGUAAUAUCGACUAUGCCGCCGAAGACCACCGGUUCUCGCAGCAAGAGUGUCACCAGCACGACGCCCACCACUUCCGCUCCUGCUGCCGCUCCGGCUUCUGCUGCCGCACCGGCCGCGAUGGUGGCCAGCUCUGUGCCCCAGGGUGGCACGCAGGAGGUGACAUCGCACGUGCAGGCGCUGAUGCAGCAGAUGCAAGCGCGCUUCGACGAAAUGUCGAAGUGCAUCGUCACUCGCAUCGAUGAGAUGAGCACCCGCAUCGAUGACCUCGAGCACUCGAUUGAUGAUCUGAUGCAACAAUCCGGCACAGAGCAAAGUGAUAAGCCCGCGGCGCGGCCGAAAAAGUGAGGGCCGCGUCGGGGAGAGGCCCAAGUGUGCGUGUACCGUAGCUCCUCUGUUCCUCGCCGCCCGUCCCCUUGCUUUGAUCCCUCUGCAGCUGCGCAUUGCGCUCAGAAGAGAGAGACGUUGCAGAAAUGCGGUUGCCAAAAAAAAAAAACAGAGGCAAUGAUACAUUUGUUUUGUUUUUCUGUUUUACCGGCCCUUGAGGUCGCCUUUGUGUUGCCGUUUGGUUUCGCUUCGUCUGGCUUUGCAUACGCGCUGCGGGUCGAGUCGUUCUCUCUUUCCUUUGAUCAUUACACGGUGGCGUCCCUCGCUUUUCAUGUCUGCGCUCCCCCUCCCACACACACACAUACACAUCUUCCCAGACUGCCGCUCUCAGCGGUUUCGCUGUGUCUAUGUCUAGAAGUUUCUCAGAGGCGACCGAGAAGAGAUGUAUGCUCUAUAAGAGCGCGAAGUGCUGCAUCUUCUCUUCUCCUCCUCCAGCCACAGCGUCGGUGCAUCUGGACGCAUUAGAUAAAGCAGAUGACGGGAGCGAGACAGGGAGGGGGCAGCAUCGUCUUGUGCUGCUGGUUGUGUGAUGGAUAGAUUCACGCGUUGUCUGUGUCCCUUCGUGGUCUUGUUGCUGUGAUGUUGGCGUCUGUCGGCUCUCUCGGGUGGUUGGAUAGUAUUUGUUUUCUUCUUCCUUUCGAUUACUUGCUCUUUGCAUGCGCGUCUUUUCCGUUUCCUCGUGCAUGUGCGGUGUGCUGUUUUCUUUUCUAUGAUCAUUAUUUGGGCGUCUGUUGUCUAUUCCCCUGUUGUGUUGUCGUGAGCACAGCUGCAGCGUUUCUUCUCCCUUUUCGUUGCUCUUUUUUUGGCUGGUGAGAUGGUUGGUUUUGCACUGAGGUAUCUGGUUCAUCGAGAUUUCGCUGGGUGCGUCCGUUUCCGAGCGGAUGUGUUCACGCGCUGCUCUGUGGCGUCCAGAGGGGUGGGUGCGUAUCUGCCCCGUUCGCUCAUAGACGUUAUUGCCGUUGGCGUUGUAGGGGAAGCCGUCUGCAUAUUAAACAAGUAAUGGCUUGUCGUCUUUGAGGUUGCUCAUUAUCUGCCGCACAACGUGAGCGCAACUCCACUCGAACCCCGGCCACCCACAGGCCCCAUUCGCGUGGUUCCGGGCGACAGUAGACACACACCCCGUGCAGCAAAAAUGCACCGCCUCCGCCAUCCGAGCACGGCACCUGCCUCCAACGCUACCCACCCACCCAGCCACACAGCGGCUCCCAUCAUGCCGGUCGCCGCCCUUCGUGCAUCCCCCUUGGGGCGACAGAUUCAGGCGGCCCUACCCAACAAUGAGCAGUGCGAGGGCCGGGUAGGAGACACGGUCGAGUAACGCUGAUGCGCCGCCUAUUAUAUCGAUGGUACAAACGUCCUGAAGGCCGCGCGCUGCUUGGCUUUCAAACAGAGUGUGAGUACUGGACUCUGAGAUGCGACGCACGGAGGCGUCCCCUCCGCCGUCAAGGCGAAAGAAGGCGUGCAGAGUAAAGAAAUAAAACAAGGGCAGAGGACGCUUCCGUGGUGAGGCACUUUUUUCUCUUCCCCCUCCCCAUGUCAGCCUCUUCCCUUGCCGUUGUCCAUACACACACACACACACAAACACACGUACUCAUGAUCCCAUCCUAUGCUCUUUCUUUUUACGCGCGUUGCCAUGGUGUUUUCCUUUUGUUUUCUUCGAGGUUGGAGGAUGUUUUCUCGUGAUGACGUACCCCUCUCUCCUCCCCGUGUAGCAUCUCUGAGUGCCUGUGUACAUGUGUAUCCGUGCACGGUGUCUCUCUCUGUCGAUCCCCCUGUAUGGUUCCUGUCACGUAUGGUAUCGUCGCUCGUCCUUUCUUGUCCGUACUCCACCUUUCUUGUACCCACCUCACACCAAAGCCACACCUUCUUCGUCGUUUUAGGUGUGUUUUCCGAUGCUCUGUGCGAUCCUCUCUACAUGUGUGUGUGUGUGUGUGUGUGUGUUCUCUGGCCUGUGCUCCCUCCUCCUGGCCGUGUUCCGCAGAAG